This 497-nucleotide ribosomal RNA is filed under the name uncultured bacterium. Its description in RNAcentral is "partial 16S ribosomal RNA". It matches the Rfam family "Bacterial small subunit ribosomal RNA", at positions 28 to 507 of the family's 1533-position model. The record is from RNAcentral.
GACGAACGCUGGCGGCGUGCCUAAUACAUGCAAGUUGAGCGAUGAAGAUUGGUGCUUGCACCAAUUUGAAGAGCAGCGAACGGGUGAGUAACGCGUGGGGAAUCUGCCUUUGAGCGGGGGACAACAUUUGGAAACGAAUGCUAAUACCGCAUAAUAACUUUAAACAUAAGUUUUAAGUUUGAAAGAUGCAAUUGCAUCACUCAAAGAUGAUCCCGCGUUGUAUUGGCUAGUUGGUGAGGUAAAGGCUCACCAAGGCGAUGAUACAUAGCCGACCUGAGAGGGUGAUCGGCCACAUUGGGACUGAGACACGGCCCAAACUCCUACGGGAGGCAGCAGUAGGGAAUCUUCGGCAAUGGACGAAAGUCUGACCGAGCAACGCCGCGUGAGUGAAGAAGGUUUUCGGAUCGUAAAACUCUGUUGGUAGAGAAGAACGUUGGUGAGAGUGGAAAGCUCAUCAAGUGACGGUAACUACCCAGAAAGGGACGGCUAACUACGUG